This 501-nucleotide ribosomal RNA is filed under the name uncultured bacterium. RNAcentral's name for it is "partial 16S ribosomal RNA". It matches the Rfam family "Bacterial small subunit ribosomal RNA", at positions 30 to 523 of the family's 1533-position model. The record is from RNAcentral.
AUUGAACGCUGGCGGCAGGCUUAACACAUGCAAGUCGAGCGGGGGGAGGUAGCUUGCUACCGGACCUAGCGGCGGACGGGUGAGUAAUGCUUAGGAAUCUGCCUAUUAGUGGGGGACAACAUCUCGAAAGGGAUGCUAAUACCGCAUACGUCCUACGGGAGAAAGCAGGGGAUCUUCGGACCUUGCGCUAAUAGAUGAGCCUAAGUCGGAUUAGCUAGUUGGUGGGGUAAGGGCCUACCAAGGCGGCGAUCUGUAGCGGGUCUGAGAGGAUGAACCGCCAAACUGGGACUGAGACACGGCCCAGACUCCUACGGGAGGCAACAGUGGGGAAUAUUGGACAAUGGGGGGAACCCUGAUCCAGCCAUGCCGCGUGUGUGAAGAAGGCCUUAUGGUUGUAAAGCACUUUAGGCGAGGAGGAGGCUCUUUUGGUUAAUACCCAAGAUGAGUGGACGUUACUCGCAGAAUAAGCACCGGCUAACUCUGUGCCAGCAGCCGCCGUAA